GGCUCAGGAUGAACGCUGGCGGCGUGCCUAAUACAUGCAAGUCGAGCGAACAGACAAGGAGCUUGCUCCUUUGACGUUAGCGGCGGACGGGUGAGUAACACGUGGGUAACCUACCUAUAAGACUGGGAUAACUUCGGGAAACCGGAGCUAAUACCGGAUAAUAUUUCGAACCGCAUGGUUCGAUAGUGAAAGAUGGUUUUGCUAUCACUUAUAGAUGGACCCGCGCCGUAUUAGCUAGUUGGUAAGGUAACGGCUUACCAAGGCGACGAUACGUAGCCGACCUGAGAGGGUGAUCGGCCACACUGGAACUGAGACACGGUCCAGACUCCUACGGGAGGCAGCAGUAGGGAAUCUUCCGCAAUGGGCGAAAGCCUGACGGAGCAACGCCGCGUGAGUGAUGAAGGUCUUCGGAUCGUAAAACUCUGUUAUUAGGGAAGAACAUACGUGUAAGUAACUAUGCAC
RNAcentral lists this ribosomal RNA (462 nucleotides) under Staphylococcus sp. R-45580. RNAcentral's name for it is "bacterial SSU rRNA". It matches the Rfam family "Bacterial small subunit ribosomal RNA", at positions 21 to 473 of the family's 1533-position model. Lineage: Bacteria; Bacillati; Bacillota; Bacilli; Caryophanales; Staphylococcaceae. The record is from RNAcentral.